UGCGCAGGUGGGCUGGUAAGUUCGAUGUGAAAGCCCCGGGCUUAACCCGGGAAAGGCAUUGGAUACUACUGGUCUGGAGGAUUGGAGGGGGGACGUGGAAUUCUUGGUGUAGCAGUGAAAUGCGUAGAUAUCAAGAGGAACACCAGUGGCGAAGGCGAGUCCCUGGACAAUACCUGACACUGAGGCACGAAAGCCAAAGGGAGCAAACA
This 209-nucleotide ribosomal RNA is filed under the name uncultured bacterium. RNAcentral's name for it is "partial 16S ribosomal RNA". It matches the Rfam family "Bacterial small subunit ribosomal RNA", at positions 568 to 774 of the family's 1533-position model. The record is from RNAcentral.